Molecule: RNA transcript, 3531 nt
Organism: Nasonia vitripennis (jewel wasp)
Lineage: Eukaryota; Metazoa; Arthropoda; Insecta; Hymenoptera; Pteromalidae
Gene name: RE1-silencing transcription factor-like
Exons: 7
Source: RefSeq, a predicted model, not a curated record
GACUAUAAUGCAGUAUGCAGUAUUUCUUUGUCUCCCUUGCUGAUAGUUACGCGAGCAAAAAACAUCGGAAAGGACGCCACGUUUUUCCCAAAACGAGAUAGAACACUGCCACGUUCCAGAAGACGAUUUACGUAUGUAUGUACAUACAUACUUGGAUAUUUUUAAACCAACGGUUGCAAAUGGCAAAGAAGAAAACAUUCACGUUCUUCGAAAAUCAACGGAUAGAAGACGAUGGGUUUUUAAUGAUUUUAAUUAGAUUGGUAAGAUUAAAUUCGUUUUGAAACAUCAGUUUUCGACUAUUAUUAGUAGGCUGUCUACACUUAAUUACAUGUACUUCAAAAUGUAUGGAAAAAGAUAGACAUACUACAUAAAAGCAUUGCAGAAGUUAAUCUAACAUGAAUCUUGAUUCAUGCAACAAUAAGCUACUUGAAUUCUAUUUUUGUUCUCGAGGAAUUCUAAUCGCAUUAAUAGGUCCACGGCAGAUAAUUUCACAAGUAUUCACAUUGAUAUGGUUUUUGUAUUUUUCAGAAAGUAAUUCAUUAAACUUGCAAGAACUUUUUUGAAGGGGUAAAGGAAUUACAAAUAUGACUUGAUAUUUAUUUGGUUUUCAUUCCACUAACUGAAAAUGGUAUUUCAGUUUAUAAUGAUUAGGUAUACUCAAUGAAUAGUAGAAAAGUAUCAAUACUUUCAAGAGAGAUCAAAAGUACUAAAGUAUCAAUAAGUUCCUAAAGCAUGUGCCUGCAAGUGUGUAUCAAAUAAUAUCAAAAACAGAUAAGAAAAUGAAAUCAAUGAAAAUCUCAUCACUAAUCACUUAGUAAAAACUUUCAUAUACAAACGAAUACCCAUCAUCUCUAGUGCAUAAUCGUCGUCACGAGUCUUGAUGUAUCUACGUUUUGCGCAAAAGCAGCUUCAUUUAGUCUAUACGAGAUUUGCACACAGACACGCGUGAAAUCAAGCCGCGUAUCAAAGGAUUUGCAAGACAGUCACUCGAGGAUAGAACAAGAUUAAUCUCGAAUACGCGUUGAAACUUCAAGAUCUUUGAACUCGCAUGCUGUGCGAUUAUUAUAUAAAUAUUUUAAUUACUGGCGCUCGUUAUUUGAAUUUUAGAUUCAAAAUUGAAUGUCUACAUCGCUUUUUAAAAAACUUUUUAAGAAAUUUUCUAUGUAUUUUAUUUAGAACUAUUAGAAUUAAGCUAAAUUGUAGAUUGUUGUUUAAGCAAACGUUUAUUCAAAGCUGCGACUAGUUCAAUGCCCGAGACAAAGUCAUCGUCGUCCCGAGACUAUGUGCAUUACCCGCUAAAUUUCAGCACACUUCUCAAGGACUCGAAUGUACCCGAAAAACAGACAGUCAGACAGACAGCAAGUGUUUACCUCCGCCAAGUUCAGUUUCGUAGAGACGUUGAUAUAAAGCCAGUGCCUCUGGUCCAUUCACCUUUCAAGCUCCUUCUCUUGGGAGAAGACGAUAUUGCCAGAGUCACAGAGAGAAAUUGACGAUGCUUUUAUCUCCGCGUUUUCUUCAAGGAAAACGAAAGAUCAAAAGAAAGCGACGGUGAACGGGUAUAUAGAGCUCGAGUAUUAUAAUAUAAGAGCUUGAUGCGUGUAUGUAGGAAAUUUUCACUGUAAGGGGCGUUGUUGUUUCCUGUGAUUUAGAUGAUUAGCCUUGUGUCUGGCGUUUGGGGGAGGUUGCUCGAGUUAUGAGCACGAAUGCGAAAAUUAUGCUUAGGACGGAGACUAAUGAGGUUCAUUAUUGCUGAAUAAUGUGUACUCAGCGCUAUUUUUUCUGUUAUUAUUAUCAAUGUAUGUACUUAUAUCCGUGAAAAAUGUAUUUCUACAAGCUUUCAAUAAUAAAACUCGUAAUGGCAAGAUUAUGAAUCGCGAAAGCGUUUGUUUAUUGAGUAAGAUUUACGAUCGUACAAAUUAUCUUGUUUUUUUUAGAACAAGGAUUCAUAAGGGACUCCUUCAACCCCAAACCAUGGCAUCUUUCCCUCAAGAAACGGCUUAUCGAAUCAACGAGGAAGGCCAGUCUACUAUUCGAAGAACAGCCAUAAAUUAACCGAUCGAUCGAUUGCUCUAGCACAAUCGCCGUCGCCUGCUAUCUUCACCGGUAGCGCUGCCCAACAAUCAAUGCUGAUAAGAUGAGGCCUUGGUGGAUGUAAGCAUUGUUAUUCACGACAUUCCGGUCGACUCAAGCACUGAAUUGCUUUAUCACUGGACUGAAAGAUCGGAUGGAGUCGUGGAAAGUUGGCGAAGCUUAUUUGCAAAUAAGGAAACUACAAUGCGUUUGCCACGAAGAAGUUUACCGCCAUUUCAUCAUCAUAAAAUAUAUGAAGCUUUUCUUUAAUAUUUUGGUUGUAUGCCUUAUUACGAUUAUUUGCUACUAAACUACUAAACUUACUGCUUUACUAAUAAAUAAUUCUGCAUAAUACUGUGAUGAACCUUUUAUUUAAUGUUUUGUUUGUAUACGUUACCACUGUUAUGUGUAAAUUAUAAGCCUAUAAUAUUAUAAAAAAGAUAAGAAUAAUAAAAAAAAAACAAUAUUUCAGAUUCGGCAUCGAAGUUCAGCAUUUUCGCAGAGGAAGACGCGUUUGAUAGUGACUCAGUCAGUAAAUCAUUAAAUAAUGAAAGUGAUGAUGAUGAUGAGGAUGAUGCUGCAUUCAAUUUUCGUAGGCGACGCACAAGUCGUGGAAUAAAUCAUAUCGUUUCAUCCAGUGAAGAUGAUUUGCCGUCGGUUGUACUUAAAACGGACAAUAAAUACCUGGUCAAAAAACAAAGCAAAAGUAAAUCUUCAAAGCGGCAUUAUUCUAAUAAAAUGUUCAAUGUUGUGAAGAAGAAAGCACUCUUACACUGCAGUAAUUGCGACGCAGAUGCAAAUCUAGACGUCGUAGUGAAAUCUAAAAUUCAACCAAACUGCGAAAAAUGUUCGAAACCUUUGAUUUUUGUUUGCACCGUAUGCGAAAGUAAAAGUAGCUGUCUGUUGAGCAUGUAUAAUCAUUAUACUAGAAACUGCGAAGGUUAUAUUCCCCCCCGUAAAUUCUCGUGUACAGAGUGCUCAUUUAAAUCGAAGUAUAAAAAUAACCUCAAUAAACACAUAAGAAACCAACACACGGUUGAAAAGUGCCGUGGCUGCGGCAAAAGUAUCAGCUCUUACAGAGGAUUCUUGCAACACAAAUCGUCCAUGUGCCCAUAUGAGUUUAAUACUGAUUCACUCGUGAAGGUAUCGUGCAAAUUCUGCGAUUACUUUUCGAUAAGGAAAUAUCAUAUGACCAGACACAUAAAGAGAGUCCAUAAUAUUUAAAUUAUAGCUAUUAACACCAUCAGGAUUAUUUUUACUUGUUACAAGUAUUAUCAUGAAUAAUCAUGUUUUUUUACUUAAAAAAAAGAAAUGUUUUUAUUAAAAAAUUGGAUGUAAGCACAAUUCGAAUUUUUUUGUAGGUUUACAUGCAUUGAUUUAUCUAAUAAAUACAAGUUAUUCAACAUAAUUCAAAAAACGAAUUCUGAAAAAAAUACAUAAAUAAAUUUGAAAACAUUUAAA